AAAAAAAAAAAAAAAAAAGGGAAAGGAAAAAGGAAAUUGAUAUCCAACACUUCCUGUACAUAGGGGCCUAAGAUUGUAGCCAGAAUACAUAUAGCUGCUGAAUGGAAUGAAUGAAUGAAUCUCAAUGCUCAUAUAUCAUCUGGCAACUGAAAGUUCUGAGAACCAAAAAUUUGAUGGGAAUUAUCUUGAACAAAGACAGCAAUACCACAUUUGCUGCUAUUGAAGCCAUCCCACAAGGAAAAAUUAACAGUUCCUGAAACUGUCUUCUUGGCAGAGAUGUCCUUGACCGUGCAGAGCUUUUCGAGCUUUCGAACAACGUAGUCGUUAGACAACAUACGCCCUUUGUUCUCUCCCUUUGGGCAGUCAGUCACCAAUCCACUCUCAUACAAAGCCACCAUUAUAUUUGCGCCAUUACUGUCAACUUUAGUUCUUAAAGCUCCUGACAAAUUGACUUGCAAGGAAUCUGAUGUAGGCCUAUGGAAGGUUGCCUGUUAAAACAAACUUGCAAUUAAUUGUCACCAUUAAGUUUAAUUAAAAUGCCAACAGGUGUCAUUGGUCUAACAAAUUAUAUAAAUUAAAAAUAAAAAUAAAGAAAAAGGGGCAAAGCUAACCUGAAAUGAGGGGGAAGGAAAUUUGGGGGCACUCAUGAUGGAAGACAAAAGAGCCUCCUCCUCAUUGGCCACAAACUGAGUCCUACCCUGGAUAACUACCUGUGGUGUAAACAUAGUGUCAAGCUUCAAUGCCUCAACGUAAGCCUUUUGCCUUACAGUCCAUUGGCUAGAGCCAAAAGGGUCCUUCCACCCCAUAUAGUCCCAAUAAUCUACAUGAAAUGCCAACACUAUCACCGGCGUUUCCAGGGCAAAGUCUCCUCUCCCUAACCUUGACACCAAUAAUUCAGCCUCCGGCGACGUCGCACACCCCUGUGAAGAGAAUAGCUCCACCAUAAUAGCACCUGCACGCCGCUGCUCCUCCGCUGAAGCAUCCACCGUCACGUUGCUUUUCCCCUUUCCAUGCACUUGGUUCCCGGAGGAGGAGGAAUAGUUGCACUUGCCAAAGCAGGCGAAGAGACGCGGCGCCAUUCUGCUGUAGCAGAACCCCGUCUCGCCCCCUUCACAAGAAAAAGAUUAACCAGAAGAAUUAAAUCAAGAACAAUGGAGAAAGAAAUAAAGAACCAAAGAUAGAAAAAGAGAAAGAUGGAAGAAGAGAAAGGUGAAUUACGUAAUGUGGGAAAUGAAUGGAAGGGAGGAUCGAGGGUGGAGAGAAAAUAAAGGAAAGAAGAAGGGGGGAUUUGUUGGAUUUUGAAUAUUUCUGUUGUUUGUAUUGUAUUUCUAUGUUUAGAUUGUUUUUCUUGUUUUUUCAGUCAAGAAGAAGAUGAAAGAAGAAGAUAUGACAGAUGGUUUGGUUCGGUUUGGCUGGGGACAGUUGCGUGCCGACACGAAUAUGUCGGUAACACGUUGUUAUUUGUCAGGUGCGGGUUGGUUGUCAGUGAGUGACAGAUGGCAUCUUUCUUUAGCUGGAGCCUGUCUGAGAUCCAAUCAUUCGUGGAUGUGGAGCAGGGAGGUUUUCUUUGACAAGGAAUCUUAUUACUUACAGGUAAAGAAAUAUUCACUUCAGUAGUUGGCUUGGCACCGACUUUUAGCUACGCUGUGUGCUGAAAUUUCUGUUGAGACA
Molecule: unclassified non-coding RNA, 1671 nt
Filed under: Hevea brasiliensis (rubber tree)
Lineage: Eukaryota; Viridiplantae; Streptophyta; Magnoliopsida; Malpighiales; Euphorbiaceae
Source: RNAcentral